AGACGUCUACAUUAGUAUACCGUCGUAGUCCCACGCGUAACCUAAUGCUCGCUAGGUGGUCAGGGCAUGGCGCGACCGUGUCUGGUGCCGCAGGGAAGCCGUGAAGCGAGCCACCUGGGAAGUACGGCCGCAAGGCUGAAACUUAAAGGAAUUGGCGGGGGAGCACAACAACGGGUGGAGCCUGCGGUUUAAUUGGACUCAACGCCGGACAACUCACCGGGAACGACAGCAAUAUGUAGGCCAGGCUGAAGACCUUGCCUGAAUCGCUG
This 269-nucleotide ribosomal RNA is filed under the name uncultured archaeon. RNAcentral describes it as "partial 16S ribosomal RNA". It matches the Rfam family "Archaeal small subunit ribosomal RNA", at positions 717 to 982 of the family's 1478-position model. The record is from RNAcentral.